GACGAACGCUGGCGGCGUGCUUAACACAUGCAAGUCGAACGGAAAGGCCCUGCUCUUGUGGGGUGCUCGAGUGGCGAACGGGUGUGUAACACGUGAGUAACCUGCCCUUGACUUUGGGAUAACUUCAGGAAACUGGGGCUAAUACCGGAUAGGAGCUCCUGCUGCAUGGUGGGGGUUGGAAAGUUUCGGCGGUUGGGGAUGGACCCGCGGCUUAUCAGCUUGUUGGUGGGGUAGUGGCUUACCAAGGCUUUGACGGGUAGCCGGCCUGAGAGGGUGACCGGCCACAUUGGGACUGAGAUACGGCCCAGACUCCUACGGGAGGCAGCAGUGGGGAAUAUUGCACAAUGGGCGGAAGCCUGAUGCAGCAACGCCGCGUGCGGGAUGACGGCCUUCGGGUUGUAAACCGCUUUCGCCUGUGACGAAGCGUGAGUGACGGUAAUGGGUAAAGAAGCACCGGCUAACUACGUG
RNAcentral lists this ribosomal RNA (468 nucleotides) under uncultured bacterium. RNAcentral describes it as "partial 16S ribosomal RNA". It matches the Rfam family "Bacterial small subunit ribosomal RNA", at positions 28 to 507 of the family's 1533-position model. The record is from RNAcentral.